RNAcentral lists this ribosomal RNA (815 nucleotides) under uncultured bacterium. RNAcentral describes it as "bacterial SSU rRNA". It matches the Rfam family "Bacterial small subunit ribosomal RNA", at positions 8 to 796 of the family's 1533-position model. The record is from RNAcentral.
AGAGUUUGAUCCUGGCUCAGAACGAACGCUGGCGGCGUGGAUAAGACAUGCAAGUCGAACGCUAAUUUCGGGGUAGCAAUAUUCCGGAGUUGGAGUGGCGAAAGGGUGCGUAACAUGUGGGUAAUCUGCCGUGAAGUUUGGGAUAACUUGCUGAAAGGCGAGCUAAUACCGGAUGUAAUCUCUGGGAGACAUCUCUUGGUGAUUAAAGUUGGGGACCGCAAGGCCUGACGCUUCACGAUGAGCCCGCAUCCUAUCAGCUAGUUGGUGAGGUAACGGCUCACCAAGGCUAAGACGGGUAGCUGGUCUGAGAGGACGACCAGCCACACUGGAACUGAGACACGGUCCAGACACCUACGGGUGGCAGCAGUCGAGAAUUUUUCACAAUGGGCGAAAGCCUGAUGGAGCGACGCCACGUGGGGGAUGAAGGGCUUCGGUCCGUAAACCCCUGUCAUUUGCGAACAAACCUUUCCACCUAACACGUGGAGAGCUGAUUGUAGCGAAAGAGGAAGGGACGGCUAACUCUGUGCCAGCAGCCGCGGUAAUACAGAGGUCCCAAGCGUUGUUCGGAUUUACUGGGCGUAAAGGGUGCGUAGGUGGCGAGGUAAGUUUGAUGUGAAAUCUCCGAGCUCAACUCGGAAACGGCAUUGAAUACUAUCCCGCUUGAGGGUCGGAGGGGAGACUGGAAUUCUCGGUGUAGCAGUGAAAUGCGUAGAUAUCGAGAGGAACACCAGUGGCGAAGGCGAGUCUCUGGACGACUCCUGACACUGAGGCACGAAAGCUGGGGGAGCAAACAGGAUUAGAUACCCUAGUAGUCC